RNAcentral lists this long non-coding RNA (1006 nucleotides) under Mus spicilegus (steppe mouse). RNAcentral's name for it is "lncRNA (ENSMSIG00000004235.1)". Lineage: Eukaryota; Metazoa; Chordata; Mammalia; Rodentia; Muridae. The record is from RNAcentral.
GAAUGAGUUCCUUAGGAAUGCAUUCUGUCAUUCUAUUAUAUAGUAAGAUAGGAGGCUUCUCUGUAGAAAACCCUAACUUUUAAAACUACCAGUCCUCUACUCUGCCUGAACUUCUAGCGGAUCCCACUCAGGCCUCCUUUAUAGGUCCCUUGAUGGCAGCUCCUUUUUCAAUUAGUUCAUUUUCAUUUCUCCGGCACCCAGACAAGCUUGGAGUAGAUACCCAAAUAUUUGCUGCUGAGUAAAUGAAUGUACAGAGUUGGGUUCUUUGCUCGCAGGCACACCGCUAUCUCGCAGGACUUGGGGCUGAGAACAUCUUGGAUCACAUGCUACUGUUUGCAGGAUGAAUCUCAGAGGAGUGUUUCCAAGGAAGUAUGACUGUGUUCAUGUGCAUGUGAGGUCCAGACCUGGGUUUCUCCGUGAACUAACAGUGUCAUGCAUUUAAGUGAACACAGGGCAGCACGCAAACGUACCUGUUCUGCAAGGAAAACCUCGUCUGCUGGUGUGAAAAGCCAGCUGUGGCCGAGGAGGAGGUGGAAAAGCUGCGCUGUCAGGACACAGCUCAUCAACACUAAACCUGACAAAUGAGCAAGGAGCCUUCUGAGGCCAGAGGAGACCAAGAUUGACAAGCCACUGGCACCAUGACAUAGGGGGAAGCGUCGGUGCGUGCGACACAGAUGUGUGUUCUCCAUGCAAGGAGAUGAGAGCCUUUCAAGGUCCACCGUUGUCUGUGCAGUGGACAUAAAUUUUGAUGGAGAUGUACCAACGUGAUUUACCAAAACCAUUUACAGCUGUUCAGUUGGAGGGAACUGGGAAGCGAUUGCGGAGAGAACCCAGGAAGCCUCGUGCUCAUGAGUGAGAAUGACUGCAUAUUUUAAAACUUCUGGAGACACACAAUUUCCCUCUGAUGUGGCAAUUUUUACUUUUCGUUCGCAUCGUUUCAGCUGUGAAGAAACUAGAGCAAAUCCCAUUGCUCCAGAAACCAUUCGGGAGGUUGGCUUUCUCCAGG